This 241-nucleotide ribosomal RNA is filed under the name uncultured bacterium. RNAcentral's name for it is "partial 16S ribosomal RNA". It matches the Rfam family "Bacterial small subunit ribosomal RNA", at positions 113 to 354 of the family's 1533-position model. The record is from RNAcentral.
CGACGUGAGGAACCUGCCUUUCAGAGGGGGACAACAGCUGGAAACGGCUGCUAAUACCGCAUGACACAUAUUUAUCGCAUGGUAGAUAUGUCAAAGAUUUAUCGCUGAGAGAUGGCCUCGCGUCUGAUUAGCUAGUUGGUAGGGUAACGGCCUACCAAGGCGACGAUCAGUAGCCGGCCUGAGAGGGUGAACGGCCACAUUGGGACUGAGACACGGCCCAAACUCCUACGGAAGGCAGCAG